UACGUAGGGUGCAAGCGUUGUCCGGAAUUAUUGGGCGUAAAGAGCGUGUAGGCGGUGCGGUACGGUUUCGGUGAAAUCCCUCGGCCCAACCGAGGAACAGCCGGGGCUACGGCCGCACUAGACGGCAUCAGGGGACAGUGGAACUCCCGGUGGAGCGGUGAAAUGCGUAGAUAUCGGGAGGAACGCCGGUGGCGAAAGCGACUGUCUGGGGUGCUUGUGACGCUGAGGCGCGAAAGCCAGGGGAUCAAACGGG
This 253-nucleotide ribosomal RNA is filed under the name uncultured bacterium. RNAcentral describes it as "partial 16S ribosomal RNA". It matches the Rfam family "Bacterial small subunit ribosomal RNA", at positions 524 to 776 of the family's 1533-position model. The record is from RNAcentral.